This 1147-nucleotide small RNA is filed under the name Gymnopilus suberis. Its description in RNAcentral is "eukaryotic LSU rRNA". The stretch from base 648 to 1147 matches the Rfam family "Eukaryotic large subunit ribosomal RNA", at positions 1 to 501 of the family's 3401-position model. The record is from RNAcentral. Lineage: Eukaryota; Fungi; Basidiomycota; Agaricomycetes; Agaricales; Galerinaceae.
UAAAAGUCGUAACAAGGUUUCCGUAGGUGAACCUGCGGAAGGAUCAUUAUUGAAUAAACUUGAUGUGGUUGAGCUGACUCUUUCGGGAGUAUGUGCUCGCUCGUCAUCUUUAUCUUUCCACCUGUGCACUUUUUGUAGAUUUGGAUGUAACUGUCCGAGGCAACUCGGUUGGGAGGAAUGCUAUCUUUGAUGGCUUUCCUUGUAUGUCCAAGUCUAUGUCUUCAUAUACUCCAAGUAUGUAACAGAAUGUAUCACUGGGCCUUGUGCCUAUAAACUAUAUACAACUUUCAGCAACGGAUCUCUUGGCUCUCGCAUCGAUGAAGAACGCAGCGAAAUGCGAUAAGUAAUGUGAAUUGCAGAAUUCAGUGAAUCAUCGAAUCUUUGAACGCACCUUGCGCCCCUUGGUAUUCCGAGGGGCAUGCCUGUUUGAGUGUCAUUAAAUUCUCAACCUUACUAGCUUUUGCGAAGUAAUGGCUUGGACUUGGGGGUCUUUUGCUGGUUUCGAAAGAGAUCKGCUCCCCUUAAAUGUAUUAGCCGGUGCCCCGCGUGGACUGUCUAUUGGUGUGAUAAUUAUCUACGCCGUUAGAUGUCUGCUAUUAAAUGGGAUGUGCUGCUUCUAAUCGUCCUCAGGACAAUUAUUGACCAUUUGACCUCAAAUCAGGUAGGACUACCCGCUGAACUUAAGCAUAUCAAUAAGCGGAGGAAAAGAAACUAACAAGGAUUCCCCUAGUAACUGCGAGUGAAGCGGGAAAAGCUCAAAUUUAAAAGCUGGCAGUCUUUGAUUGUCCGCGUUGUAAUCUAGAGAAGUGUUACCCGCGUUGGACCGUGUACAAGUCUCCUGGAAUGGAGCGUCAUAGAGGGUGACAAUCCCGUCUUUGACACGGACUCCCAAGGCUUUGUGGUGCGCUCUCAAAGAGUCGCGUUGUUUGGGAAUGCAGCGCAAAAUGGGUGGUAAAUUCCAUCUAAAGCUAAAUAUUGGCGAGAGACCGAUAGCGAACAAGUACCGUGAGGGAAAGAUGAAAAGAACUUUGGAAAGAGAGUUAAACAGUACGUGAAAUUGCUGAAAGGGAAACGCUUGAAGUCAGUCGCGUCGUCCGGAGAUCAACCUUGCUUUUGCUGGGCGUACUCUCCGGUUGACGGGCCAGCA